This 253-nucleotide ribosomal RNA is filed under the name uncultured bacterium. Its description in RNAcentral is "partial 16S ribosomal RNA". It matches the Rfam family "Bacterial small subunit ribosomal RNA", at positions 524 to 776 of the family's 1533-position model. The record is from RNAcentral.
UACGUAGGGUCCGAGCGUUGUCCGGAAUUAUUGGGCGUAAAGGGCUCGUAGGCGGUCUGUUGCGUCGGGAGUGAAAUCUUACAGCUUAACUGUGAACUUGCUUUCGAUACUGGCGGGCUUGAGGACAGGAGAGGAACGCGGAAUUCCAGGUGUAGCGGUGAAAUGCGUAGAUAUCUGGAGGAACACCGGUGGCGAAGGCGGCGUUCUGGACUGUUUCUGACACUGAAAAACGAAAGCCAGGGGAGCAAACGGG